Hydra vulgaris (swiftwater hydra) is the source of this 588-nucleotide long non-coding RNA. RefSeq lists it as uncharacterized. NCBI's taxonomy places the organism in Eukaryota, Metazoa, Cnidaria, Hydrozoa, Anthoathecata, Hydridae. The record is from RefSeq and is a predicted model, not a curated record.
GUUUUUAUAACAAGUAAAUAAAUAGCUUGUUGCUGGAAAUAAAUAGCUUGUUGUUGGAAAUAAAUAGCUUGUUGUUGGAAAAUUGCUUGUGAUAGUUACAUCAACUGUUUAUAAAUGAUUUUUGCAGCAUUACAUGAACUGUUUAUAGAUGAUUUUUGCAGCAUAAAUUACCAUUCUGUUUAACAAAGACAUAAUUUUACUGUUGCUACAUACAACAAGAAACUGCACCCGGCAGAAAGAACUAAUUUCGAUUCAUCCGGAAGUUUAGUUCAUACAUCCGUAAAUUGCAAUCGGAAAGAGCUGAAACCUAUUUUUAGUGCAGUUGGAAAGAACUGAAUUGUUUUUUAGUCUUUUCACACAGUAUAACUGGUACUGAAUUUAAUAAGUUUAUUAAUUUUUAUUUAUUUUAUAUUAAAUUUGUUUUAUAUUAGAUAUAUUUUAACGUAUUUUAGCAUGGAAAACUGACUGUAAUUUGUUGACACAAAAGUGAUCAACAAAUUACAGUCAGUAAUUUGUCGAUCCUUUACUUAAAUAAUUUUGUACAUUGUAGACUAGAUUCUUUAUUUAAAUAAAAAUAACUAAUGUAAA